RNAcentral lists this ribosomal RNA (253 nucleotides) under uncultured bacterium. RNAcentral's name for it is "partial 16S ribosomal RNA". It matches the Rfam family "Bacterial small subunit ribosomal RNA", at positions 524 to 776 of the family's 1533-position model. The record is from RNAcentral.
UACGUAGGGUGCAAGCGUUAAUCGGAAUUACUGGGCGUAAAGGGCGCGUAGGCGGACAGUUUAGUCAGAGGUGAAAGCCCAGGGCUCAACCUUGGAAUUGCCUUUGAUACUGGCUGUCUUGAGUACGGGAGAGGUGAGUGGAACUCCGAGUGUAGAGGUGAAAUUCGUAGAUAUUCGGAAGAACACCAGUGGCGAAGGCGACUCACUGGCCCGUUACUGACGCUGAGGCGCGAAAGCGUGGGGAGCGAACAGG